This is a long non-coding RNA of Pyrus x bretschneideri (Chinese white pear), 981 nucleotides long. RefSeq lists it as uncharacterized. The transcript has 2 exons. The record is from RefSeq and is a predicted model, not a curated record. NCBI's taxonomy places the organism in Eukaryota, Viridiplantae, Streptophyta, Magnoliopsida, Rosales, Rosaceae.
AAGAAAUUUAAGUGGGAUUAAACCCCAAUCCGGUCACUCCUUCUCACUCUCUGCAGACACUCUCUCGCUCCAACCCUCGAACACUCUCACUCUCUCUUUAGCACCAAGGGCUUUAGCCUUCAUUUUUCCAUUAUCUUACAACAAACCAAACCUUAAACUCCUAUAUUUUGAACCUAUGGAAUUCGAGGAACACAACCAUGGUCUUGCAUGCAUCAUCGAAACACCGUGAGGUGCUUAUUCAGUGAAGCCGAGAGCCUCAAGCUCUAUUGUCAAACCAGGUAACAAGAUGUGAUGAAUUGUGGUCGGUUUCAAGCUCAAAUUCGAGGGUUUUAAACCCCAAUUAUAAUCUGUGCAUGCAUUCCCAGCUUCGGCAACGAACUCUCUUGAAAACCGUCGAGUUUGAAGCCAUCUGGGGUUCUUCUUCUUCUGGGUUUUAUUCCGUUUUAGUUUAGGGAGGAAAUGGUGAAGUUCUGAGCUAAGGUUUCGUGUUAUAACUUAUGCAUACACUCUGUUUGCUUUCCCAAAAUCUGGUGAGAACCUUCAAAGAAAAUCUGUAGGUGGAUUCCACCUCCAAUCAACCUAAAAUCAUCGCAGAUUCUGGUGAUUUCCUGUGCGACAAGCGGCGGCAGACGACAGUCACCAUUAGGGUUAACGGCGACAACGGCCAUUCUUUUAGUUUUAGCGGAAUCGUUAGACGGUAAAUUAAGGUAUAUUCCGUAUCUCCUAUGUACAUUUUUUUAUGACCGGCGUGUGGCUCCGGCGACGACGAGUGUGGCGUCUACUCAUCGAACCGUGGUGGCGAGUACACCAACGAGUGAUGCCAUCGCGCGUCACGUGCAAGACCUAAGAUUUAUCUGUACGUUUUUUUAUGUUCUGAAUAAUGUGGCGCCUUCCGUUUGUGCAAGUUCAUUGCCUAAAUAGUAGUUUUAAAUAUAGUUUGGUUUAAAUGCCAAAAAAUGCUUAGUUAAGAUGUUACUUUCA